ACAGAGGGUGCAAGCGUUAAUCGGAAUUACUGGGCGUAAAGCGCGCGUAGGUGGUUUGUUAAGUUGGAUGUGAAAGCCCCGGGCUCAACCUGGGAACUGCAUUCAAAACUGACAAGCUAGAGUAUGGUAGAGGGUGGUGGAAUUUCCUGUGUAGCGGUGAAAUGCGUAGAUAUAGGAAGGAACACCAGUGGCGAAGGCGACCACCUGGACUGAUACUGACACUGAGGUGCGAAAGCGUGGGGAGCAAACAGGA
Molecule: ribosomal RNA, 253 nt
Filed under: uncultured prokaryote
Description: partial 16S ribosomal RNA
Rfam family: Bacterial small subunit ribosomal RNA
Source: RNAcentral